This 394-nucleotide ribosomal RNA is filed under the name uncultured bacterium. RNAcentral describes it as "bacterial SSU rRNA". It matches the Rfam family "Bacterial small subunit ribosomal RNA", at positions 30 to 429 of the family's 1533-position model. The record is from RNAcentral.
AUUGAACGCUGGCGGCAUGCCUUACACAUGCAAGUCGAACGGCAGCACGGGGCAACCUGGUGGCGAGUGGCGAACGGGUGAGUAAUGCAUCGGAACGUGCCAUUGAGUGGGGGAUAACGUAGCGAAAGUUGCGCUAAUACCGCAUAUUCUGUGAGCAGGAAAGCAGGGGACCGCAAGGCCUUGCGCUCUUUGAGCGGCCGAUGCCAGAUUAGCUAGUUGGUGAGGUAACGGCUUACCAAGGCGACGAUCUGUAGCGGGUCUGAGAGGAUGAUCCGCCACACUGGAACUGAGACACGGUCCAGACUCCUACGGGAGGCAGCAGUGGGGAAUUUUGGACAAUGGGCGCAAGCCUGAUCCAGCCAUGCCGCGUGAGUGAAGAAGGCCUCGGUGUAAG